RNAcentral lists this unclassified non-coding RNA (551 nucleotides) under Hevea brasiliensis (rubber tree). The record is from RNAcentral. Lineage: Eukaryota; Viridiplantae; Streptophyta; Magnoliopsida; Malpighiales; Euphorbiaceae.
AUUACCUGAUUGACUUGAUCAAGCUUGCUGAUAAUAUUAAGGCGGACAUCAGGAAAUUCAUCUUUCAGAAGAGAGAGAAAAAUGGGCAGUAGUUGCUCUAUUGUUGCAUCCUUCCCCAAAACUGGUGCCAUUCCCAUUAUAACUGAAGCCAAAGCAGAACGAACAUGUUGGGAUGAAUCUGUGGACAAUUCCUUUACACAAGGAAUAAUCCGCUGGAUUGCAAGUUCUGGGUUCAAAAUCCGGCAAAAUUUAGUUACUUUGCCUGCAGCAGCUAUACGUACUUCAGCUUCAUUAUCACAAAGUAGCCGAACAUAUGCAGGAACCAGAUCCGCCCUGGUAGGUUCAGGGCCAACAGCUUCACAUAGCUCAUAUAAUUGGUUAGCAACCAUGUAACGAACACGCCAAGACUUAUCCUGUGAGAAAUUAACUAUGACAGGGAGAAUAUGUGCCACACAGUCUUGGGGUUCCAACAACUUUCCAAGUGCUGCACAACCCUCAACAGCCAAUAGUCGAACAGAAUCUUGAUCAUCUUGUGUCAAAUCCUCAAAUAU